AGUGAACGCUGGCGGUAGGCCUAACACAUGCAAGUCGAACGGCAGCACAGUAAGAGCUUGCUCUUACGGGUGGCGAGUGGCGGACGGGUGAGGAAUACAUCGGAAUCUACUUUUUCGUGGGGGAUAACGUAGGGAAACUUACGCUAAUACCGCAUACGACCUACGGGUGAAAGCAGGGGAUCUUCGGACCUUUCGCGAUUGAAUGAGCCGAUGUCGGAUUAGCUAGUUGGCGGGGUAAAGGCCCACCAAGGCGACCAUCCGUAGCUGGUCUGAGAGGAUGAUCAGCCACACUGGAACUGAGACACGGUCCAGACUCCUACGGGAGGCAGCAGUGGGGAAUAUUGGACAAUGGGCGCAAGCCUGAUCCAGCCAUACCGCGUGGGUGAAGAAGGCCUUCGGGUUGUAAAGCCCUUUUGUUGGGAAAGAAAAGCAGCAGGUUAAUACCCCGCUGUUCUGACGGUACCCAAAGAAUAAGCACCGGCUAACUUCGUG
Molecule: ribosomal RNA, 492 nt
Filed under: uncultured bacterium
Lineage: Bacteria
Description: partial 16S ribosomal RNA
Rfam family: Bacterial small subunit ribosomal RNA
Source: RNAcentral